UGCCUUUCCUCUCUCUCUGCUUAGAUCGGAAUGCCUUUAGUUCUCACUCAGCACACAGCAUUGCUCCACAUCUCCCUGCUUUCAGUCCACACUCAGCAUCAAUCCUGCCCCCUCCUGACACUUGCACCAGGUCAGAUCCUCUCACAUUCCCCUUGCACUCUACCCAAAUAUCUUUCUUGCUAUCUUUUCUCAUGAGUUAUAUACUCAUUUUCUCUCUUUGCAGAAAUUUGACAUUUUUAUGCAACUCUAGAAAAAGCAGUGCAGUUGGAAGCAUUAUGGGGAAGCAGCAAAAGAGUGCUGAUGGCAGAAGAGUCUCCCCAGAACACCAAGGAAAGGCCCUGUUGAUAACCCUUACUGAAGAAAAGGGGCAGGAGGAAGGCCAGGAGCAGGAGGAACAAGAGGAGCAGUUGCAAUGGCAGUGAUGCCCAGCAUACUCGAUGUAAGAAAGAGCACAUGC
RNAcentral lists this long non-coding RNA (457 nucleotides) under Gallus gallus (chicken). RNAcentral's name for it is "long non-coding RNA NONGGAT007791". Lineage: Eukaryota; Metazoa; Chordata; Aves; Galliformes; Phasianidae. The record is from RNAcentral.